UUCCGGUUGAUCCCGCCGGACCCCACUGCUAUCGAGAUGGGACUAAGGUAUGCUAGUCGAACGACCAGUACUAUGUCUGGAAGUGGCACACUGCUCAGUAACACGUAGCUAACCUACCCUUAGGACGUGGAUACCCCCGAGAAAUUGGGGUUAAUCCGCGAUAGGUGUAAUGUCCUGGAAUGGUAUUACGCCUAAAGGUGUAUCAUACAUGUUUGAUAUACGCCUAAGGAUGGGGCUGCGGCCGAUCAGGCUGUUGGUGAGGUAAUGGCUCACCAAACCUUUGACCGGUACGGGCCAUGAGAGUGGUAGCCCGGAGAUGGACACUGAGACAAGGGUCCAGGCCCUAAGGGGCGCAGCAACCGCGAAACCUCCACAAUGCACUCACGUGCGAUGGGGCUAUCUCGAGUGCCACCUGAUGAAGGUGGCUUUUCCUAGGUCUUCAAAGCCUUGGGAAUAAGAGGGGGGCAAGACUGGUGUCAGCCGCCGCGGUAACACCAGCCCCUCGAGUGGUGGGGAUGAUUAUUUGGCCUAAAGCGUCCGUAGCCGGCCGAGCAAGUCUUCCGUUAAAUCCAGCGUCUCAAGCGUUGGACUGCGGGAGAUACUACACGGCUAGAGAGUGGGAGAGGUCAGCGGUAUUCUGGGGGUAGGGGCGAAAUCCUUUGAUCCCCGGAGGACCACCAGUGGCGAAGGCUGCUGACUAGAACACGUCUGACGGUCAGGGACGAAAGCUGGGGUAGCGAACCGGAUUAGAUACCCGGGUAGUCCCAGCCGUAAACGAUGCAUGCUAGGUGUUGGGUUGGCCACGAGCCACCCCAGUGCCGCAGGGAAGCCGUUAAGCAUGCCGCCUGGGAAGUACGAUCGC
RNAcentral lists this ribosomal RNA (862 nucleotides) under uncultured archaeon. Its description in RNAcentral is "bacterial SSU rRNA". It matches the Rfam family "Archaeal small subunit ribosomal RNA", at positions 1 to 844 of the family's 1478-position model. The record is from RNAcentral.